GACGAACGCUGGCGGCGUGCUUAACACAUGCAAGUCGAACGGAAAGGCCCUGCUUGCAGGGUACUCGAGUGGCGAACGGGUGAGUAACACGUGGGUGUUUUGCCUUGCACUUCGGGAUAAGCCUGGGAAACGGGGUCGAACACCGGAUGGGAGCCAUUCUUAGUGAGAUGGUUGGAAAGUUUUUUCGGUGUAGGAGGAGGUUGAGGGCUAUAAGCUUGUUGGUGGGGUAAUGGCCUACCAAGGCGGCGACGGGUAGCCGGCCUGGGAGGGUGGGCGGCCACAUUGGGACUGAGAUACGGCCCAGGCUCCGACGGGGGGGAGCAGCGGGGAAUGUUGAAAAAGGGGCGCAGGCCUGAUGCUGCGCCGCCGCGUGGGGGAUGACGGCCUUCGGGUUGUAGACUCCUUGCGCUAGGGACGAAGCUGUUUGUGACGGUACCUAGAUAAGAAGCACCGGCUAACUACGUG
Molecule: ribosomal RNA, 465 nt
Filed under: uncultured bacterium
Lineage: Bacteria
Description: partial 16S ribosomal RNA
Rfam family: Bacterial small subunit ribosomal RNA
Source: RNAcentral